AGUCAUGCUCACUCACUGGGCAUCUUAAUGCAUCUAUGUUACUGCAGACAAAUGUUGGGUUGCAGAAAAAUCCAGUUGCCUUCUUAUACUUUCUAUCUUUCUCAGUCUGGCAUUUCAAACCCCUUCAGAGUGAAAGCUGGCCUCUGAUGGGGAUACCUGCCUACUUUAUUACAUAUUUCAAGAUGCUGAUUCUGCAAACAUACAGGGCCAGAUCCAGGUUCAGCACAGUCAAUGGGGAUCUAUUGGAUGGGUCCCCUGGCAAACAACUCAAAAGCCCUUUAUGUGGCAGUAGGCUUCCAGAGAUGAGAAGAAUAUGUACAAAAGCCAAAGGAGCACAAAGAGGCUGGAUGUCAGAAGCUUGGCAGUCCGCGGCCCACCCAGCUCACCUCCAAUUUCAGGUCUCCGGCGGU
This is a long non-coding RNA of Alligator sinensis (Chinese alligator), 410 nucleotides long. RefSeq lists it as uncharacterized. Lineage: Eukaryota; Metazoa; Chordata; Crocodylia; Alligatoridae. The record is from RefSeq and is a predicted model, not a curated record. The transcript is spliced from 3 exons.